UGAAAACCCUUACUACAAUAAUUCAUAACCUCAAAAACGUCUAACCAGCAGCGCUCAUUAAUAUUGUGGUGAAAAUUUUAAAUGUUUUCGCUCAAAUAAGCGGAACAUUUCAUGAUGGUUGGCAGGGGGAAGUGGUCAGACCUUAUCUUCUAAGACCGUGGUUCAGAAUGUUGUUUGGCUUGGAAUUUGAAUGAUAUUUAUAUAGUGAAUAUGUAAUAUACCUCCUAAUCUAACCUGUAACUAUCACAAAUCACAGGACACAGAAUUCUAUCUUGUUACUACUUGCUAUAAUAAUAUAUUAUAGCUAUUAAUUACUAUCCUGUAUCCUUAACUCGAUUGGUGCGUUGUACCUAUUAUAAUUAUAAUUCACAAUAGUAAAAUACAAUUUUAACAAAAUCACAAGACGAACACUAUACAUUUGUUUUGCCUAUCCUACUUGUACUACAAAAAAACAUUUCAAUGUCAGGAUUCAAUCAUUAUGGUCAUAAUGGAUCCAGCCAGCGCCAAUCAAACAAUAGUCUGCAAAUCCCUAAAAAUUGGAUGAAUUGUCCUUCUAUAGCUACUCAUUCGGUAGCUGAUUCAUUUGUGACAUUUAAAACACCAUUAGAUUACAAAUAUGAUAAUAAAAUAGCAAUCAUGAAGAGAUUCAAUCCACAAAUGGUAUUUAGUCAUAUGUAUUCAUAUCAGCAAAGUAUUGGUUUAUGGAUUGAUCUCACAAACACUACACGCUACUACAGUCAAUUUGAAAUAGAAGAUAUGGGAUGUGCUUAUGUAAAAAUACCUUGUGUUGGUCAUGGGGAUUUGCCUAACCGACAAGUGUUCACUGCACUCAUGGUUUUAACAGGACAGGAUUUUUGAUAGUUUCUUAUUUAAUAGAAGUGUUAAAUUAUGAUGUGAGAAGCGCAAUACAUCAUUUUGCAGCAGCUAGACCUCCUGGUAUCUACAGACAAAAUUAUAUAGAUGAGCUUUACAGACGGUAUUCAAAUGAAGCUCCUACCAUGGCACCAAAACCUCAUUGGAUUCAUUAGUUCUUAAACUCUAAAUCUCUAAAGCUAUUGACAUAAUAUUUUUGUAUCAUUUAAUCGCCUACAUUGCUCAAAUUAGAAAAUGUAAUUUAUAUUUGAUUUUAAAAUUUGAUUUUGUAAUUUUCAAUAGUUGUAUCCAUUAUAAUAAUAAAAAAAUAUUGGUAUUCGCUUAGUACUUUACUUAUAGUGUGUGACCUGUGGGACUGAUAAUUAAUUAAAAACAGUCAAAUUAAAAAUCAUAAGAUUAUGUUAAUAAUUAUUGAACUUUAACAAAUAUAAAAUAAUACAGGAUUAAAUGAAUAAUGUAAAAUUCAGUCAAACAAAAUAUCAGUAAAAAAAAAUAUUUGAAUACAUAUAGAUAUUACUUGUUACGUCUAUUACAAAAAUAGGUAAACUUUUUGCAUAUAACUUAAAAAAUUGAAAAACGUAUUUUUCCUGUUAACAGAUUUAAUAGAUCGGUGUACAUUAACUGCCCAUGAUAUAGAUAACAGUUUCGAUAGGUGGACACACUACCUGGUAAAACAAUUAAGUCACAUACUAAACUCGAUUUUUGCUCGGUAAUUCACACACUAAACGAAUACCAAAAUACAUUUAUAGGUAAUAAUGUAAUUUAAAUGUAAAAAAUACAUUGUACAGAAUGUUCUAUUAUAUCAAACACAAAUCAGCAUAAAACAUAUCCAUAAUUCAAUGUUUUUCUGUGAAUUUUAAGCUUAAAAAAUAAAAAUGUAUGUACAUUUUAAAAUUAAAUAAAAAUAAACUAAUUAAGUUU
Molecule: unclassified non-coding RNA, 1794 nt
Filed under: Acyrthosiphon pisum (pea aphid)
Lineage: Eukaryota; Metazoa; Arthropoda; Insecta; Hemiptera; Aphididae
Description: mRNA-capping enzyme, transcript variant X2
Source: RNAcentral